ACACUCAUAAUCCGAGACUCUCUUCUUGUUUACGACUAUCCAACGCGAAAAAAAUGAAGCAUGAGAUUCGGUGUUUUGUCUUAUUGUCCUUUAUGCUUCUGAUGUCAUCCAACCUUGUUCAUACUCAACUGCCCACGGAAGGACCUUCACAAUCAAGGCUAGGCAACACCCCACCGUGGCCAGGAAAGAAGAAACGGGACGUUGGAAAAUUUGAUAGAAUUGGAAUUACAGAUGACGAAUUAUUCUUUGACGAUAACUGACAAAUUAAUAACUGAAUGAUGAUUUCUGCUACCACGUUCUGUGACAUCAUGAACGUUCUUCAUUUUUUGUAAUUUGUUAACGGAGUGAUAAAAGUUAUGAAAAAUUUUCAUUGUGUAAAUAUUUAUUCAUAAAAAUUUGAGUCUUGUUAGAUGGAAUAAAUUGACUGAGUUUUGUGAGA
Styela clava is the source of this 439-nucleotide long non-coding RNA. RefSeq lists it as uncharacterized. NCBI's taxonomy places the organism in Eukaryota, Metazoa, Chordata, Ascidiacea, Stolidobranchia, Styelidae. The record is from RefSeq and is a predicted model, not a curated record.